RNAcentral lists this ribosomal RNA (1144 nucleotides) under Plasmodium knowlesi. RNAcentral's name for it is "SSU rRNA". It matches the Rfam family "Eukaryotic small subunit ribosomal RNA", at positions 604 to 1460 of the family's 1831-position model. Lineage: Eukaryota; Apicomplexa; Aconoidasida; Haemosporida; Plasmodiidae. The record is from RNAcentral.
UUAAAAUUGUUGCAGUUAAAACGCUCGUAGUUGAAUUUCAAAGAACCUAUAUUUUAAUGAUGCUGUUAGCGAGAGCCACAAAAAAGCGAAUUCCAAUAUAUGUUUUCUGCUUUAUGUGCGCAUCCUCUACCUAUUAAGUGUUAAUUAAAUUAAAGGGUUUCUUUUUAAAAUCUUCUAUAACUAAUAAAAAAAUAUGGAAGAUUUUGUUACUUUGAGUAAAUUAGAGUGUUCAAAGCAAACAGAUAUAUAGCAUUUGUGCGUUUGAAUACUACAGCAUGGAAUAACAAAAUUGAACAGGUCAAAACUAUGUUUCUUUUUUUUUAUUUUUGGCUUAGUUACGAUUAAUAGGAGUAGUUUGGGGACAUUUGUAUUCAGAUGUCAGAGGUGAAAUUCUAAGAUUUUCUGGAGACAAACAACUGCGAAGGCAUUUGUCUAAAAUACUUCCAUUAAUCAAGAACGAAAGUUAAGGGAGUGAAGACGAUCAGAUACCGUCGUAAUCUUAACCAUAAACUAUACCGCCUAGGUUUUGGAUGAAAGUAAAACAAAUAAGGAUAGUCUCUUCGGGGAUAGUUCUUAGAUUUCUUCCUUCAGUACCUUAUGAGAAAUCAAAGUCUUUGGGUUCUGGGGCGAGUAUUCGCGCAAGCGAGAAAGUUAAAAGAAUUGACGGAAGGGCACCACCAGGCGUGGAGCUUGCGGCUUAAUUUGACUCAACACGGGAAAACUCACUAGUUUAAGACAAGAGUAGGAUUGACAGAUUAAUAGCUCUUUCUUGAUUUCUUGGAUGGUGAUGCAUGGCCGUUUUUAGUUCGUGAAUAUGAUUUGUCUGGUUAAUUCCGAUAACGAACGAGAUCUUAACCUGCUAAUUAGCAGUAAGUACAACAUAUUUCUAUGCUGAAUUUGUAUUUGGAUAAUUUAAAAGGUUCUUUUGCCGUGCAUAUAAUGAGUACGGAAAAAAUGCAUACUGCUACCUUGUACCUAAUAAUACUUGGCGCCUAUGCAUAUUUCCAGCCCUCUAUUCCCUGUACCGCAUAAAACUGGAUUAUGAUGCCAUUUCACUUUUAUGUAGAAAUGUAUUUGCUUUUACAUAAAGCUUCUUAGAGGAACGAUGUGUGUCUAACACAAGGAAGUUUAAGGCAACAACAGG